UGUUAAAAUUCAUAUAUUUGUAUUGUUAAAAAUUAGUGUAGCUAACGGAAUAACUAGAUAAUGGUACGUGAUGUGCCAUGUGUACUUUAUGCAGACCUACAAAGAUCAAUUUUUAAUAGUAGAAAUUGAUAGAAUUUUUAACA
This is a non-coding RNA of Gossypium hirsutum (cotton), 143 nucleotides long. The record is from Rfam. NCBI's taxonomy places the organism in Eukaryota, Viridiplantae, Streptophyta, Magnoliopsida, Malvales, Malvaceae.